GCGUAAGCGCACGCAGGCGGUCUGUCUAGUCGGAUGUGAAAUCCCCGGGCUCAACCUGGGAACUGCAUUCGAAACUGGCAGGCUAGAGUCUUGUAGAGGGGGGUAGAAUUCCAGGUGUAGCGGUGAAAUGCGUAGAGAUCUGGAGGAAUACCGGUGGCGAAGGCGGCCCCCUGGACAGAGACUGACGCUCAGGUGCGAAAGCGUGGGGAGCAAACAGGAUUAGAUACCCUGGUAGUCCACGCCGUAAACGAUGUCUACUUGGAGGUUGUGCCCUUGAGGCGUGGCUUCCGGAGCUAACGCGUUAAGUCGACCGCCUGGGGAGUACGGCCGCCAGGUUAAAACUCAAAUGAAUUGACGGGGGCCCGCACCAGCGGUGGAACAUGGGGUUUAAUUCGAUGCCACGCGAAGAACCUUACCUACUCUUGACCUCCAGAGAACUUUGCAGAGAUGCUUUGGUGCCUUCUGGAACUCUGAGACAGGUGCUGCAUGGCUGUCGUCAGCUCGUGUUGUGAAAUGAUGGGUUAAGUCCCGCAACGAGCGCAACCCUUAUCCUUUGUUGCCAGCGGUUAUG
Molecule: ribosomal RNA, 571 nt
Filed under: Enterobacter hormaechei
Lineage: Bacteria; Pseudomonadati; Pseudomonadota; Gammaproteobacteria; Enterobacterales; Enterobacteriaceae
Description: bacterial SSU rRNA
Rfam family: Bacterial small subunit ribosomal RNA
Source: RNAcentral